This 1056-nucleotide long non-coding RNA is filed under the name Megachile rotundata (alfalfa leafcutting bee). RNAcentral's name for it is "uncharacterized LOC105662959, transcript variant X1". The record is from RNAcentral. Lineage: Eukaryota; Metazoa; Arthropoda; Insecta; Hymenoptera; Megachilidae.
UGCUCGUUAGCACGCGCGUGUUCACGCGAAUCCACGAUCCGAUUAUUCGCACAUGAGAGGAAAGGAGUCUACGACAGAACAGACGAGAUAGGACUGUGGUUUAAACCGGUAGUUUCCCGCGUCGUUUGCCUCGUGUACGCGUAACGUGACGCCGGACAGACGGUCUACUCAUUGGCAAGAAAAUAUUGAAGAAAAACGAAUGAUACGUAUUCCCACGAUUGUGCCUAUUUUCGAUCAAUAUGGAAACCAUCUCAGAAUGAAUCGUGGUCAUUCGAAGUCAUUUUUGUUAUUCCAAAAUGAGAUAAAAGACUUGGCAAAAAUGACGUAUAUUUUUAUUUUGCAAAUGGCGUAUGAUUUCAUUGUACACAUGGCGCAUGUGCAUCGUCGUGCAAUAAAAUGCUGCGAAAUUGAAAUACGACCUGAUCUUUGAAGUAUUAUAAACGAGAAAAGCUGUGCUUUGAAUGAUAUCUGCUUUGAUGUACACGGUUAAAAGGAUUUUCAGUUCAUACUACUUUGGUAAAAUUACGAUUUACUUGGCGCAAGAAAACAAUAGCGUUGUUUGAACUGUACUUUUGGACAUAUACAUAAGGACACUUUUACUUCAGUUAUGGUAAUUAGGAUUUAUUUUCUGGUUAGUUUUAGGGAAGAUUACACAUUUAGGAUGUUCAACAAUGAAGACAAAUAAAUAUUGUCUUAUCUCUUUUCUGGUUACCAAUCGCUACAGCAUCUCUUUAUCCGCGUUCUUAAAUGGCGGAACUAAUCGAAAGGUAGAAGACGAAGAAGUAGGCGUUGCGGUUACAAUCGAUGCAACACGUGCACACGUACGAUACAACGGAUGUUGAAAAGAAUUGCGACUACCGUUUCUUCGUUUACGCGUAGGAGAAACGAUAUCCUUCUCCUCCUCUGUGAAGGCAAAAAGAGAAUGAUGCCACUGGUGGUCCUUGACAAUGAACUGGUUUCGGGUUUUGGCGUCGAACCAGUUGAACGACAAACAAGACGAGAGAGAAGCUCCUCCGACCCUCAGGCAUUAACUAACAUAAGUGGAGUGCAGUUGCA